CACGGACUUGGUGCCUGCGAGGAUCUGCGCUGGUGGGAUUCCCUAGCAAAUUAAAAACGGCAUGACAGAUCAAGAGGGAGACUGCAGUUGAAAGGACGGCGCUUCAUAAUUGAGCACCUCUGACGGCACUCUUUCUUGCAUUUGAACACGUUCAUUUUCAUUCCCCACCGGGCUCCGCGGGUUACUGGUCGGCAUGGCAACUCCAAGCAUGUGUUUUGGCUGAUCGGUGGGAAGAUAUAGGAGGGAACCCAUCAAAGCAAUACUCCAAGAGAUCAUGUGGUCCUGGACCCAGAAACUACCAAUGCUUACCUCCAAGAAGCAGAAG
This 325-nucleotide long non-coding RNA is filed under the name Callithrix jacchus (white-tufted-ear marmoset). RNAcentral's name for it is "lncRNA (ENSCJAG00000082574.1)". The record is from RNAcentral. Lineage: Eukaryota; Metazoa; Chordata; Mammalia; Primates; Cebidae.